UUUCAGACAAGACAAAUACACCCAGCCUCCCAAAGUCUUCCCAAACCGAAAUAUAGAUGGAAGCAAAGGUGGUAUUUUCUUCCUCAGAACGCAAGCAGCUGUGAGCUGAAACAAAGUAAGAUGAUGAGAGAGAAGCAGCACCAGUAGCAACUUCACACCUGAAGGACUUGACAGGACUUAACACUGCACACCAACAUGUUAAAGAGUCAGUUUCUGCCUUUCAUUGGCUGCUUUAAGCCGUGAAUUGCAAGGACAAACUGGAGGGCAGAGAAGGACAAGUGACCCCAAAACUAGCUUCUGGUAUUGUUCGUUUCUCAAGACCUGGAACUAU
Long non-coding RNA from Mesocricetus auratus (golden hamster), 331 nucleotides. RefSeq lists it as uncharacterized. NCBI's taxonomy places the organism in Eukaryota, Metazoa, Chordata, Mammalia, Rodentia, Cricetidae. The record is from RefSeq and is a predicted model, not a curated record. The transcript is spliced from 3 exons.